Podarcis lilfordi (Lilford's wall lizard) is the source of this 8789-nucleotide non-coding RNA. NCBI's taxonomy places the organism in Eukaryota, Metazoa, Chordata, Lepidosauria, Squamata, Lacertidae. The record is from the annotation of a GenBank genome assembly.
GCCAAACGCGGCUGAGCUUCGAAAGCGCGGCGUUGACCAUCGCGGCUUCGCGCUCCUCCGUCUGUUUCUGGGCAGAGCCCCUUAGCCCUUGCCCCCGACGUCCGCGCAUUGGCGACAGCGCAGCGGUCCCCCGACCUUGCCAAGGACGCAGGGAAGGAGCCAGCCGGCUGAAUCGGCUCGCGGUGGAUGGAAGCCCGGCCCCCGAGGAAGGCAGGGCCGGGCAGGAUCAGCUCUGGGCUGCCCGCAAGCGGGCAAACGAAGAGGCCCCCACCACGAAGCGAAGCCCCGCCAUAGGCAGGUUGGACGUGCGUCCGGCCCAGCCUUGGAGACCCCCGGGAUGGAGGAACUGCUGGCGCGCAGCGCUCCUCGCAGGUGAGCAGGAUCGGGACCAAACUGAUGGAUAUGGUUAUGAUUUCGUGCUGCGAAGCUCCCAGCACUUUUUAAAACGAAGAGCGGGGGGCAGAGGGAUCAGGGGGGCUGCAGAAGCAUAGAGACUUAUUUCACUUUAUGCGUGCUCGCGUUGUUCAUCUGAUCAAAAUCGCCCCUUCCAGCAGCUUGCAGACAUGGUUUGGUGGAGGUGGGUAGGAGAAGUAAGGACUUGACUCUCCCCCACCCCGCCACUCCAUGGCUAUUGGCAGAAGUGCCACCUCGGUGCUCAUGGGUGCCCGGGACCGCAGAUGCCAUGAAGAGUACAUGGCCCUGGCACCGAAAUUUGUGGGUGCCCUGCCCCUUCAUGGGGAAUUUUGAGGGUGCUCGGGUACCCAAGACCCCAGGGAGUUGGCACCCAUGGCUAUUGGCAACUUUUGGAUCAGGGUUUCCCUUGAGCACGCUGCUAUCUCCCUUUGGACUUCAUUUCUGCUGUCACUCAGUUUUGUAUCAGAAGAAUCCUUAUGCAGGGUGACCAUAGCAUAGAGAAUUGAAUACUCCCGACAGUUGAAAUUCUCCACUCAGAGAGGCUGAAUUCUGCGCAGGCUGAGAGCCUUUGCCUGGGGCUCCUUAUUUUGCCUAAUUGUUUCGGGUGUGGGGGUUUGCAUCUGCCAGUCAUGGCAAAGAACAUUGCAGCGUGCAGCAAAGGCACCAUCUUCCUUCCUUCAGCAGAGAUGGCAUCGCUACUCACACAGCCCUGUGUUUUCGCAGUGGGUGGUGAGGUGGGGUACCAAUUCCUUGGCUACCCAACUUCAGAAUGUGGGAGGAGCGGGCAAAGGGGUGAAGACCCUGCAUACGAAAGCUUAGGACUUUUUUUGUUUCUUCUACUCUUACUUGUACAUUCAAGAAUGUGUGUACUGCAGUUGUGUGGUGUGUUGUUUUUUUUAAAUUAAUUUUUAUUGCAUUUUCAGUUUUAUCAUAAUCACAAUUUCCAUACAUAUUUCAAAAAAACUCAAACCUCGCUCUAUUCGAGCAUCGACUUCCUCCCGCCCCUUUUUCUGACUUCCAUACAUGUUUACUUUAUUCUUAGCAUUUCCAUAACAACUUUUUUACCUUCUCUCUUGUUUUUUAAUUCACCUCUUUAAAUGUAAAUCAGUUCCUUAUAUUCUCUUUACAAGACAUUUCAACUCAAAGCUACAAACGUUUUCAAAUGUUUACAUUAUUCUUUCAGAUAUACUAUAAAUUUGCUCCAGUCCUUCUGAAACAGUUCGUCACACUGAUUCCGGAUCUUCCCCAUCAGCUUUGCUAAUUCCGCUUAUAUCCACCAUCUUACUCCUCCAUUCUUCCACUGUUGGGAUCUCCUGUGAUUUCCAUUUCUGAGCCAAAAGUAUCCUUACGGCCAUUGUGGCAUACUUAAACAGGUUUACAUCUUUUGGGGGGAUUUCAUCUCCAAUUAAACCUAACAAGAACAUCUCUUUAUUUUUUAUUAAAGUUAUAUUUCAAAAUCUUUUUUAAUUCAUUAUAAAUUAUAUCCCAAUAGGCUUUCACCAUGGUACACGUCCACCACAUAUGAUAGAAAUUCCCCUCCUUCUCCUUGCAUUUCCAACAAUUUUUAUCCUGAUUUCUAUACAUUUUAGCGAGUUUGGCUGGUGUUAUAUACCAACGGUACAUCACCUUGUUACAUUUUCUUUGAGUGACAUGCAUGCUGUGAAUUUAAUUGUUUUUGUCCACAUUUUUUCCCAUUUUUCAAAAACAAUGUUAUGUCCCAAAUCUUGGGCCAACUUAAUCAUAACACUUUUUACCUCCUCAUCCAUUCUGUGCCACUCUAGUAAUAAUUUAUACGUUUUCGACAAUGUUUUUCUUUGACUGCUCAACAAUUCCGUCUCUGUGUAUUGCAGUUGUUGAGGUCUCUUUGAUGCAGUGAAAGAGACUUUGGGGCCAUCCGUGGAUCACUGAAAGAGAACAGAACUGUGCUGAAACUAGGACUUUUGUUUGAAGUGACGUCUCCUCUUUGCUCUCUCCCCUUUACAGCCUCCAUCCUGAGUUCCUGCUUCCUCUUGACUCAAACCAAGGGCGAGAAGGAGACAGUUAUCAAGAUGGACACAGAACACCCAGAAAAAGGAGGCAGUGUCACCUUCACACCUGUAGACCUUGAUGUGGGGAACCUUAGCACCUUCAUCUGGUACCGAGGGGAAAUUGAGGAGAGUGCUCGAAUCUUUACUUAUAUACUAGUACCAUCUAGAAUACAGAAUAAUGGACCUUCAUUCACUGAGCGGGAGACUGGGGGCCUAGACACCACCCUUAACAUCAGGGAUUUAUGGCUAAAUGACUCUGGACUCUAUACAUUGACUGCUAAAGUAUCUUCAGGAACGGUGAUAGGAUUUAUAGUCUUAAAUGUCUUAGGUAUGGUGUCUACUUUUAGGAUCCGCCUUACUUCUAUUACUGUAAGUUAUUUUAAACUGUUUCUAAUAUUGUGUGUUUUAAUGUUAUAGCCUGCCCUUGGAACUAAGGGCCCAGGGUGGGUAAAUAGUGGUAACCGAAAUAGUAAUCACAGAAUUGACUUUAUAAUCUGAAACACACACAGAAAGAGAGACAUCACACGUUCUUUUGUAAUUCAUGGAAAUCUGUAAUAAAAAUCUUUUUUUUUUUAAACAAAUCAUAGAAUUGCAGAGUUGGAAGGGACCCCAAGGGACAUCUAGCACAACUCGUGGCAAUGCAGGAAUAUGCAUGGAGAAGAGUGAUGAGGGAGCCCAACAAAUCCAUCUGCAUGUCACUACCUGGCAGCUCUGCUGACCUUGAGGCUCAUAUUCCAUAAACUGGGAAUGUUAAUUAAUGCCGUUGCGAUCUUGCUUGUUAACCUUCGGGUAGAGUUGCUUAGUCGGUUACUGGUCCUGUUAAUACGAUUUUGUAAUUUCUGCUAUAUUGUUGUUUUGCCCAUUUUAUUUUUAUCGCUUUGCUCCCUGCUCUGGGGUUGAAAAAAUCCGAUGAAGAACGGGAUAGAAAUACUGCAGCUUAAUCAGAAUGGAAUGGAAGGCUCUCAUGUGCAGGGAAGCCUGAAUGUGCAAGGCACACGGGUGCAUUUGUCCAUGCAAGUCACCCUCCAGCUGCAUUCGUGGAGGGAUGUGAAGAGAAAGUUUGAGAUGCUUCACUGCAGCAAGGCCACAGACAAGCUUGGGGCAAAGUUGCCACCUUUUUUCCUUUUUCCUACUGCCUUUAACAGUAGUCAGAGCAGGCAAGAAAGAUUCUGGUGAUACUCUUUUUACCACAUACAGUCAUACCUCAUGUUACGUUUGCUUCAUGUUACAUUUUUUCAGGUUGCGUCCCGCAGCGACCUGCAAGUACUAGAAAGGGUUACUUCUGGGUUUCAUCCCUCGUGCAUGCACAGUAGUGCUAAAUCGCGCUUCGCACAUACGCACAAGUGCCAAAUCGCGCCGCGCAGAUACGGCGCUUCAGGUUGCAGGCUUUUCACGUUGUGAACGGGCCUCCAGAACGGAUCCCAUUCACAAUCAGAGGUACCACUGUAUCUCCAUGCCAGGGAGGGGGGAAAAAAACCUUUAGCUAUUCAUCAAGGCUGUUCUGAAUCAAAUAACUGGCAACAUUAGGUUGAUGUCCAGAAGAGCAGGUUUCACUGAAAAUUGCCCUAUACUCAAUGUUACACAUGUGGAGGACAUGCAAGAAAAUAAAGGAAUUUUGGAAUGUAAUCUAUAAUGAGCUUAAAAAAAUGAUUAAGGUAUUCUAUCCUUUAUUUUAAAAACCAGAGGUGUUUCUCUUAGGGAUACUUGGCCCAGAUAUACCUAAAAAUGCGAGAGAAUUAUUCUUGUAUGCUAUUGUAGCUGCAAGAAUAUUAAUUGCAUCAAACUAGAAAGGAGAGAAAAUUCCAACAAAACUGGAGUGGCAAAGUAAGUUGUUGGAGUACGCCAAAUUGGCAAAAAUGAUAGUAAAACUGAGAGGUUCUACAGGGCAAACUUUUAUUAAGAGAUGGGAUAUGUACAAAAAAAAACCCUUAUAAAUUACUGUAAUAACAUAAUGCCAGUGGGAGGACUCGAAUGAAUUCUGUGGUAUGUUGACUAACAAGAGAAUACAAUAUUGAUAAUUGACAAAAGCAAAUAAAAUAAAAUGAAUGUUAAUAGUGCGCUAGAGAGAUUAAGUGGUAAAUACACGAUGGGGUGGCAAGAAGUCAUUGGAUACUUACGUAAGUGGAAUGUGGAGUGAUGAUAUAACAAAUAGCACAAUUAUUAUUAUUAUUAUUAUUAUUAUUAUUAUUAUUAAACUUGUAUGUUUGUUACAUCUUUUUAAUCUCAAUAAAGCAAUUUAAAAAAAGGAAAAAAGAAAAUUGCCCCAUACUCAUGUGAUCAACUGGGGAAGGAAAAUCAUGGACACAUACUUUCCAAAGCUCACAGCACCUUUCUCUCCCGUCUUGCAGAUGUAGAGGAGGCUGACUCCCAUCCCCAAGCGUCAAUUAUUGGAAUCAUCCUAGGUUGUAUGAUUGGAAUCGUGGCCAUGGGAGGUCUGGGAUUGUUCCUGUACCCCAGGUUUCGCUCAGCGUAAGUCUGCCGUCCUGGUCCCCUUGAAUCAGGGUCCCCCUGAAUUUGCCAUCUCCCCCUGGUUCUCCGGGAAGUUCCUGCUCUGCUUAACUGCUUUGAGUGGUCUCUCUGCUCACGCUCAGGGUUUGAGGCUGUCUCACUGUGGUGAACCAGUGUGGUUAAGAGUGGUGGACUCGUAAUCUGGUGAACCAGGUUCGCGUCUCCGCUCCUCCACAUGCAGCUGCUGGGUGACCUUGGUCCAGUCACACUUCUCUGAAGUCUCUCAGCCCCACUCACCUCACAGAGUGUUUGUUGUGGGGGAGGAAGGGAAAGGAGAAUGUUAGCCGCUUUGAGACUCCUUAGGGUAGUGAUAAAGUGGGAUAUCAAAUCCAAACUCUUCUUCUUUUCCUUCUUCACUGGUGUCCUGCCCCACACUUCUCUUAGAAGCAUUCAGUGCCCCACUAUUUGCGCCUCCAAGCCAAAUGCACAAACGCCAACCAGGGUUGCCAUAUUGAAGAGGGGGCAGAGGAAGAAAUAUCUGCUUCAACUGUGACACUCAGGCAGGAGAAGUUGCAGAAGAAGAAGAGUUUGGAUUUGAUAUCCCGCCUUUCACUCCCUUUAAGGAGUCUCAAAGCAGCUAACAUUCUCCUUUCCCUUCCUCCCCCACAACAAACACUCUGUGAGGUGAGUGGGGCUGAGAGACUUCAAAGAAGUGUGACUGGCCUAAGGUCACCCAGCAGCUGCAUGUGGAGGAGCGGAGACGCGAACCCGGUUCCCCAGAUUAUGAGUCUACCGCUCUUAACCACUACACCACACUGGCUCUCACUUGCAGCAGCUGAGGUUGCCUUUUCUUGAUAAUCCACCAAAGCCACCGUAGGCCUAUCCUUUGUUAAACCUGAUGAUUCUGAUACACAAACAUUUGCAAUGAGUAGAUGACCACAUCAAGCACCCCUCCAAAAUUGGUUAGAAACUGUACACAUUGGGUUGACUUUUCAAUUCUAAAAGGUAAAGGUAAAGGACCCCUGGCAGUUAAGUCCAGUCGUGAAUGACUCUGGGGUUGUGGCGCUCAUCUCACUUUACUGGCCGAGGGAGCCGAUGUUUGUCCACAGACAGUUUUUCCGGGUCAUGUGGCCAGCAUGACUAAGCCGCUUCUGGCAAAACCAGAGCAGCGUGGUACCUGUUUAUCUACUUGCACUUUGAUGUGCUUUCAAACUGCUAGGUUGGCAGGAGCAGGGGUCACAGGGAUUCGAACUGCCAACCUUCCGAUUGGCAAGCCCUAGGCUCAUGAGGGGUAGCUAAGUUGUGACCUCCCAGAUGCUGUCAGACUCAAUAAAUGUCUGGAGGACACCUGAUUGAGGAAACCUUCCUUAAAGGUACCGGUAUUUUUUUGCCAUUUGGGGAGUUCCCAAUAUCUAGAGGAAAUCCUAGCAAGGCAUAUUCUUUGCACCCCUAACCCAUCUCAGGCCACUCGCCAUGCCUGCUUCCGCUAAUCUAGUAGGAGUUGUUCCUUCCGUGGUCUCAGCCUUUUGAGCAGAGGGUUCAAAAGGAGCAGAGGGUUGUGGGUUUUCAGUGCCUCCUGCUUGGCUGUGGUGGGCUUAUUCUCCUGGAUCUCUCUCUGUUUCCUAAUGCUUUUCCUCUGUCCUGUUUCUGUCAUUUCAGAGCAAGGCGUCGCUGACACGAAACCCAUCAUGGUAAGAAUGAUACACAUAUGAUUCCUAAUGUAUUCAGACUCCAGAGUUCUGGUCCAAUCUCUAGAACGGAGUAGGAAGGGGAGGGGAGGGGGUUUGAGCUAAAGCAGAGCAAAGUGAAGUUCUUCCUUCCUCAGAAGGAAGUAGGACAUCGAUGAGGAACUUUUUCAACCCAGCGAGCCAGAUCCUUAUUUCCAUGAGUCCUGUGGGCCAACUUUGACAUGUAGGCUGGAUCACCCAUCUACCAGUCACCUGACAUCCACCCCUCUCAGUGUGUCCUGCUUGGUUCUGCUGGGCUUGGGUUCUGUCUGUUGUACGUUCCAGGUCCGUGACUUUCUCUCUUUGUGAUUUCAGACCAGUGCUUCAGCGUAUCGGUAGGAACAGAAUACAAACCCACACUGGUAAGGAUAGAACAAAGGCAGUACCUAAUAUAUGCAGACUUCAGCAUUCUGAUUCAAAGUCUAGAAGCGGGAGAGGGGUUGAGUUGCAGCAGAGAAUGUCUUUCUUCCUGCAAAGGAAGUAAGAGCAGGAGUGGAGAACCUCUUCAGCCCAACAGUCCAGAUCUUUAUCUCCAUGAACCCCCUGGGCCAAGUUUGCCAGGUAGGCUAGGUCACCAACCUGUCAAUCACAUGACAACAAUGACUAUGAAUUUCAUUUGCAAGGAGGUUCCUUUGAAGUCACUUAUAAACAAACUUCAAAGUGCGGGCCACCUUUGGAAAGCAAUCUUCCAAUCUAUAUCAGUUGAUGCAACCCCAGGAUAAGGACACCCAUGUUAUUUGGAAUAAAACUUGCAGCAUUUACUGAGGACAGACAAAUACUCUAUAUAGAGAAUAAUCCCCAAGAAAUACAAAAUGUUAUAAGAGCUCUUAAAACCAACAAUUCACCAGGCUUUGAUGGUUUACCUGCAUAAUUUUAUAAAAACAUUUUCAGGUAGCAGUACUGUUAAAAUUAAGCUGUUUAACUAUUGUAAGCUAACUAAGGUAAUAUAAGAAUCUUGGAAAGAUGAAAAAAUAACCUUAAUUCAUAGGAAAGACAAAUAUCCGACAUUACCCUAAUCUUAUAGACCAAUAUCACCAUUAAACCAAGAUUUCAGAAUUCUUGCUCCAAUGUACACAAAAAGGUUAAAGUUAUUUUAAUGUAUAGACAUCCAGACCCAUGGAUGUCAUAGAAAUAGCUUUGGUUUUCUUAGAUGCUGAAAAAGCUUUUGAUGGGAUAGAAAGUAAUUAUUCAUACUCCCUGUUGGAUAAAUUAAAUACUGGUGUUCCUUUCUUGGAAUAUAUCAAAGCUGUUUCUGAAGACCCAUGCACAGUUUUAUAUAUAAACAAACAAAUAUAAAUAUUUGAAAUCAUUUUUGAGGAAGCAGAGCCCCCCCCCUUCACCUUUGCAUUUUUUGUGUGCUGAACCAUUGACAAAAUUGAUAAAGAAGUACCGGGGGAAAAUGUUAAAUCAAAUACCAAUGCUGGUAUUCAUAAUAUUGAUGUUGUGUGAAGUAUAUAUGUAUUUGAUAAUACUAUGUACCUAUGAAUUUGUUGAGUUUAUGUGUUUGUUGUGUUUUUUAAGUGAAAUUUAAACAUAUAUUUAAAAGGAAGGAUCUAGAGCUUGGCUGUUAUCCUGACACCUUUACACUCGCUGGCUGGAUUACUGUAAGGUGGGAUGAAGUUUGAUGUUUCCUGGAUAACAGAUUGAUUAUUGAUUGCAUGCUUUCCCUUAUAACCCUGCAAGUAGAAAGUUGUGAGCUCUGUUGUGUCAUCGUGUUUGCUUUUGAAAAAUUCAACGAAAGCUAGAAAUCCAGGGAACGGCCUUGCAAUAAACACUCAAAAGUGCUGCCCGAUCACAGCCCCCGAUACCACAAUGCCUUUGAACUUCCCCUUGGUCCCACUGACUCCUUCUUAUGAUAUCUUACAGGGUGAAGACAUACAAUAUUCAACACUAGCCUUCAAGGCCAACCACCCUCCUCAGCCAGAGCCAGGGCCAUCCGGCCUUUGGAAAGCAACAUAAUAUGCUCAGAAAUCAAGAAGAAAUGAUCAGGGAUAAUUCUCCCCCGGUGCUCUCCUCAGUGCAAACAUCUCCUAUGACUCACCUCCUUUGCCUGGAUUGUUUUAGGGAAGUGUGAUGAAAAAAUUGGUUGCCUUGUCUGAAGAGAAGAAUGUAGAAUUCUCCCACAUAGGCACACAGUUGCCUGGUGUAAUAAAAAGUUUUAGCAGUGGGACAA